AGGAAUGUGUCCAGAGGUGGGGGACAACCUUGGGAAACUGAGGCUAAUACCGCAUAUGAGCUGAGGCUCAAAGCAGCGAUGCGCCUUUGGAGUAGCCUGCGUCCGAUUAGCUAGUUGGUGGGGUAAAGGCCUACCAAGGCGACGAUCGGUAGCUGGUCUGAGAGGACGACCAGCCACACUGGGACUGAGACACGGCCCAGACUCCUACGGGAGGCAGCAGUGGGGAAUAUUGGACAAUGGGCGCAAGCCUGAUCCAGCAAUGCCGCGUGUGUGAAGAAGGUCUUCGGAUCGUAAAGCACUUUCGACGGGGACGAUGAUGACGGUACCCGUAGAAGAAGCCCCGGCUAACUUCGUGCCAGCAGCCGCGGUAAUACGAAGGGGGCUAGCGUUACUCGGAAUUACUGGGCGUAAAGGGCGCGUAGGCGGCGCUCCAAGUUAGGCGUGAAAGUCCUGGGCUCAACCUGGGAACUGCGCUUAAGACUGGAGUGCUUGAGGAUGGAAGAGGGUCGUGGAAUUCCCAGU
RNAcentral lists this ribosomal RNA (522 nucleotides) under uncultured bacterium. Its description in RNAcentral is "bacterial SSU rRNA". It matches the Rfam family "Bacterial small subunit ribosomal RNA", at positions 119 to 674 of the family's 1533-position model. The record is from RNAcentral.